UACAGAGGGUGCAAGCGUUGUUCGGAAUUACUGGGCGUAAAGCGUGCGUAGUCGGUAUUGAGAGUCGCGGGUGAAAUCCCAGGGCUUAACCCUGGAACUGCCUGCGAGACCUCAGUACUAGAGUGUGAGAGGGGAUAGUGGAAUACCCAGUGUAGCGGUGAAAUGCGUAGAGAUUGGGUGGAACACCGGUGGCGAAGGCGGCUAUCUGGCUCACAACUGACACUGAGGUGCGAAAGCGUGGGGAGCAAACAGG
Molecule: ribosomal RNA, 253 nt
Filed under: uncultured bacterium
Lineage: Bacteria
Description: partial 16S ribosomal RNA
Rfam family: Bacterial small subunit ribosomal RNA
Source: RNAcentral